GGGCCCGCACAAGCGGUGGAGCAUGUGGUUUAAUUCGAUGAUACGCGAGGAACCUUACCAGGGCUUAAAUGCAGAACGACAGAGGUGGAAACACCUCCUUCUUCGGACGGUCUGCAAGGUGCUGCAUGGUUGUCGUCAGCUCGUGCUGUGAAGUGUCGGGUUAAGUCCCAUAACGAGCGCAACCCUAUUUCUAGUUGCCAGCGGAUAAUGCCGGGGACUCUAGAGAAACUGCCCGUGCAAACUGUGAGGAAGGUGGGGAUGACGUCAAAUCAUCACGGCCUUACGUCCUGGGCUACACACGUGCUACAAUGGCCGGUACAGAGAGCAGCCACUUCGCAAGAAGGAGCG
This 348-nucleotide ribosomal RNA is filed under the name uncultured bacterium. RNAcentral describes it as "bacterial SSU rRNA". It matches the Rfam family "Bacterial small subunit ribosomal RNA", at positions 917 to 1269 of the family's 1533-position model. The record is from RNAcentral.